AUGGCUUCCUCUCUUGGAGGUCAGAGGCUCAAAGGCUUCGCACAACGACCUGCUAGUGGCACUCGUGGUGGCAUCCUGCUUCUAUGGGACGAAGACCUCGUCGAGGUUAAGGACAUUAACACUGGAACUUUCUUCCUCUCGGCUACAAUCACCAUUACCCGUACUGACACUUCCUUCAAGUUCACUACCGUCUAUGGACCAACUCGCAGCAACCUCAAAGACAUUUUCUUCCAAGAGCUGAUCUCUGAGAAGCCUACUCCUGGUACUAGAUGGCUGCUAGCCGGCGACUUUAAUCAGAUUUACCGCACAAGAGACAAGAACCGCGCUAACAGUAAUCGAAGCCGAAUGACACGCUUCCGCAACACCCUCAAUACCUGUGAGCUAAAAGAAAUACACCUUCAAAACAGGAAGUACACUUGGAGUAAUGAGCAGAGUGAUCCAACCUUAUGCAAACUCGAUUCGUUUUUCUGCAAUGAAGAUUGGGACAUCGACUUUGGCAGUCAUCUACUUCAUGCCCUUUCUUCAUCCCUUUCUGACCAUUGCCCUCUCCUUCUCGCAAAUGUCCAAGGACCACCUAAGUCAAAGUGUUUCCGCUUUGAGAACUUCUGGACUAAAAUGCCCAGAUUCAAGGAGAUCGUACAAGGCGCUUGGAACCAAAGGGUGAACCACUCUGACCCCUAUCAGAUCCUAUUUCACAAGCUCAAGAAAACCAGCCAAGCUCUAAGGAAAUGGAGCAAGACAAUUUUUACACACUCAAAGGUGCAGCUGUUCAUGGCUUUGGAGGUCAUUCUCCGCCUAGAUGUGGCGCAAGAGCUUAGGCCUCUCAGUGCGGAGGAGCGUGAUAUU
This 846-nucleotide ribosomal RNA is filed under the name Triticum aestivum (bread wheat). RNAcentral describes it as "partial small subunit ribosomal RNA". Lineage: Eukaryota; Viridiplantae; Streptophyta; Magnoliopsida; Poales; Poaceae. The record is from RNAcentral.